RNAcentral lists this ribosomal RNA (497 nucleotides) under uncultured bacterium. Its description in RNAcentral is "partial 16S ribosomal RNA". It matches the Rfam family "Bacterial small subunit ribosomal RNA", at positions 28 to 507 of the family's 1533-position model. The record is from RNAcentral.
GAUGAACGCUGGCGGCGUGCCUAAUACAUGCAAGUCGAACGCAUAGCGAAAGGUGCUUGCACCUUUCAAGUGAGUGGCGAACGGGUGAGUAACACGUGGACAACCUGCCUCAAGGCUGGGGAUAACAUUUGGAAACAGAUGCUAAUACCGAAUAAAACUUAGUGUCGCAUGACACAAAGUUAAAAGGCGCUUCGGCGUCACCUAGAGAUGGAUCCGCGGUGCAUUAGCUAGUUGGUGGGGUAAAGGCCUACCAAGACAAUGAUGCAUAGCCGAGUUGAGAGACUGAUCGGCCACAUUGGGACUGAGACACGGCCCAAACUCCUACGGGAGGCUGCAGUAGGGAAUCUUCCACAAUGGGCGAAAGCCUGAUGGAGCAACGCCGCGUGUGUGAUGAAGGCUUUCGGGUCGUAAAGCACUGUUGUAUGGGAAGAACAGCUAGAAUAGGAAAUGAUUUUAGUUUGACGGUACCAUACCAGAAAGGGACGGCUAAAUACGUG